This 867-nucleotide ribosomal RNA is filed under the name uncultured archaeon. RNAcentral describes it as "bacterial SSU rRNA". It matches the Rfam family "Archaeal small subunit ribosomal RNA", at positions 5 to 878 of the family's 1478-position model. The record is from RNAcentral.
CGGUUGAUCCCGCCGGACCUGACUGCUAUCGGAUUUGGUACUAAGCCAUGCGAGUCAUUGUAGCAAUACAAGGCGGACGGCUCAGUAACACGUAGUCAACCUAACUCGUGGACGUGGAUAACCUCGGGAAACUGAGAAUAAACCACGAUAGAUCAUAGUGCCUGGAAUGGCUUAUGGUCCAAACAGUUUACUGCCAUGGGAUGGGACUGCGGCCUAUCAGCUUGUUGGUGAGGUAAUGGCCCACCAAGGCGAUUACAGGUACGGGCUCUGAGAGGAGUAGCCCGGAGAUGGGUACUGAGACACGGACCCAGGCCCUAUGGGGCGCAGCAGGCGAGAAACCUUAGCAAUGCGCGAAAGCACGACUGGGUCAGUCCGAGUGAUUCCUGAUAAAGGAGUCUUUUGCUUGUCCUAAAAGCACAGGUGAAUAAGGGGUGGGCAAGUCUGGUGUCAGCCGCCGCGGUAAUACCAGCACCUCGAGUGGUCAGGACGUUUAUUGGGCCUAAAGCAUCCGUAGCCGGCUCUGCAAGUCUUCGGUUAAAUCCACCUGCUCAACAGAUGGGCCGCUGGAGAUACUACAGAGCUAGGGAGUGGGAGAGGCAGACGGUAUUCAGUGGGUAGGGGUAAAAUCCUCUGAUCCAUUGAGGACCACCAGUGGCGAAAGCGGUCUGCCAGAACACGUUCGACGGUGAGGGAUGAAAGCUGGGGGAGCAAACCGGAUUAGAUACCCGGGUAGUCCCAGCUGUAAACGAUGCAAACUCGGUGAUGCAUUGGCUUAUGGCCAAUGCAGUGCCGCAGGGAAGCCGUUAAGUUUGCCGCCUGGGAAGUACGGACGCAAGUCUGAAACUUAAAGGAAUUGGCGGGGGAGCA